Long non-coding RNA from Leptopilina heterotoma, 961 nucleotides. RefSeq lists it as uncharacterized. NCBI's taxonomy places the organism in Eukaryota, Metazoa, Arthropoda, Insecta, Hymenoptera, Figitidae. The record is from RefSeq and is a predicted model, not a curated record. The transcript has 5 exons.
UCAUUUCCAUGAUUGCCGUGAUCACCAUGGUCACCAUCACUUCCGUGAUCGCCGUGAUCGCCAUGGUCACCAUGACCCCCAUCAGCACUGUGACCACUGUGAUUAUCAAUUGACAGGAAGAAAAUAACACUCCAGCGCUUCGUAAACGGCUCCAAGAAGAAUGAUGCCAAUUGCUGAACCCAAAACUUCUUGCCAGUUUGUCGUUUGCCAUUUGUCGAAUAAAAUUGUCUCCGUAACGCCAAAGUGAAAUGACAUCUUCAAACAUUGGAUUCUCACAAAUAUAUACAGAUAUAGAUGUGCAUGGAUUAAAGUAAAACCCCGGAGCAUGCAAAUAAUUUCUCUUUAAGUAAUCGUAUACAUGGAACUGGAACUCGUAAAUAUAUAUCAACAAUCGUUAGUCUACUUUUGGAAUGUGGAAAAAUGAAGAGAGGAAAAAUUGUUUUUAAUAAACUGGAAUCGAUCCAAAUUGGAGAAAAUGUUCACAGUCCCGGGAGAGAUCAAUUAUUUAAAACCGCGAUGUUUUAAUGGUUCAAUAAUUGAGAAAAGUAUUUUUUUUUUGGAGUUAUGAAGUUCCGGAGUCUAUGGAAGAUUUCGAAUUCCAUUUUUCUUUCAAUCUGAUGCGGAUAUCACAAUGGCAAAACUUCUUUCAAAUUCAACAUGAUUUUAAGAUAUAUACAUACAUAUAGGAAUUGAAACUAAUAAAUCGACUUUAAAAAUUUUCAACAACGAACCGAGAACGGCUUGUAGAAUUUUUGGAGCUUAACUAAUUGCCAUUUUUACGCACACGUUUGAAAUACUAAAGGAAAAAAAAAUUUUUCUGCUCAUAUAACUUUUUUAAAUUUCAAUGCACAAUAUUGAGGAAAAUUCUCAUUGUAACAGAGAAAGAAGAAAGAAAAAAAAUUCUAUAUUGCAAUUUUAACGAGAAACUAUAAUAUUAAUUAGUCAGAAGAAUUUAAAUUUU